ACUGCUGUCUGCUGCUUGGCAGACAUCUGGCCAAGAUAUCAUACCAUCCACCAUCCCCUCCUCCUCCUGCCAACAGACCUUGUAUGUACAGAACACAAAGAAUCUGAACAUCUUUAUCAACCCUGAUGAUCACCAUGGCAACAGUGGCAACAUCAACAUGGUUCAUGAGGGCAAUUAAGAAUGAGGAGUUACAGCACUAGCACAUUGUGAGAGUUAGAUGAGCUGAAUGCAGGCGCUUCCGGAUCAUAAUUGCUGAACUUAAACAAUCUGACGGCAUGAAGCACGUCAUCACAGCCGCACCACUCCCACA
Molecule: long non-coding RNA, 310 nt
Organism: Plectropomus leopardus (leopard coralgrouper)
Lineage: Eukaryota; Metazoa; Chordata; Actinopteri; Perciformes; Serranidae
Source: RefSeq, a predicted model, not a curated record